GGGGUCGACACAGGACUACACAUGCAGUCGGGCGGUACAGGAAAGCGCUUGCGCUUUUGCUGACGAGCGGCGGACGGGGAGGAUGUCUGGGGAUCUGCCCGAGGGCGGGGGAUAACCACUGGAAACGGUGGCUAAUACCGCAUAAUGUCGCAAGACCAAAGUGGGGGACCUGAAAGGGCCUCACGCCGUCGGAUGAACCCAGAUGGGAUUAGCUGGUAGGUAGGGUAAUGGCCUACCUAGGCGACGAUCCCUAGCUGGUCUGAGAGGAUGACCAGCCACACUGGGACUGAGACACGGCCCAGACUCCUACGGGAGGCAGCAGUGGGGAAUAUUGCACAAUGGGCGCAAGCCUGAUGCAGCCAUGCCGCGUGUAUGAAGAAGGCCUUCGGGUUGU
Molecule: ribosomal RNA, 394 nt
Filed under: Photorhabdus akhurstii
Lineage: Bacteria; Pseudomonadati; Pseudomonadota; Gammaproteobacteria; Enterobacterales; Morganellaceae
Description: bacterial SSU rRNA
Rfam family: Bacterial small subunit ribosomal RNA
Source: RNAcentral